RNAcentral lists this ribosomal RNA (3037 nucleotides) under Brenneria goodwinii. RNAcentral's name for it is "bacterial LSU rRNA". It matches the Rfam family "Bacterial large subunit ribosomal RNA". Lineage: Bacteria; Pseudomonadati; Pseudomonadota; Gammaproteobacteria; Enterobacterales; Pectobacteriaceae. The record is from RNAcentral.
GGGUUGUGAGGUUAAGCGACUAAGCGUACACGGUGGAUGCCUAGGCAGUCAGAGGCGAUGAAGGGCGUGCUAAUCUGCGAAAAGCGUCGGUAAGGUGAUAUGAACCGUUACAACCGACGAUACCCGAAUGGGGAAACCCAGUGUGUUUCGACACAUUAUCAUCACAUGAAUACAUAGUGUGAUGAGGCGAACCGGGGGAACUGAAACAUCUCAGUACCCCGAGGAAAAGAAAUCAACCGAGAUUCCCCCAGUAGCGGCGAGCGAACGGGGAGGAGCCCAGAGUCUGCAUCAGCUUGUGUGUCAGUGGAAGCGUCUGGAAAGUCGCACAACAAAGGGUGACAGUCCCGUACACGAAGAUGCACAGGUUGUGAGCUCGAUGAGUAGGGCGGGACACGAGAUAUCCUGUCUGAAGAUGGGGGGACCAUCCUCCAAGGCUAAAUACUCCUGACUGACCGAUAGUGAACCAGUACCGUGAGGGAAAGGCGAAAAGAACCCCGGCGAGGGGAGUGAAAUAGAACCUGAAACCGUGUACGUACAAGCAGUGGGAGCCCCACCACCAAAACACUUCCGGGCCGAAAGGCAAUGCGGAUGUCGAGGUGACGGUUGUCAUCGCGUUUUUUGCGAUGAGCAACACACAAAACAAGCAGUGAGUGUUUUGGGGUGGGGUGACUGCGUACCUUUUGUAUAAUGGGUCAGCGACUUAUAUUCUGUAGCAAGGUUAACCGAAUAGGGGAGCCGCAGGGAAACCGAGUCUUAACUGGGCGUUAAGUUGCAGGGUAUAGACCCGAAACCCGGUGAUCUAGCCAUGGGCAGGUUGAAGGUUGGGUAACACUAACUGGAGGACCGAACCGACUAAUGUUGAAAAAUUAGCGGAUGACUUGUGGCUGGGGGUGAAAGGCCAAUCAAACCGGGAGAUAGCUGGUUCUCCCCGAAAGCUAUUUAGGUAGCGCCUCGUGAAUUCAUCUUCGGGGGUAGAGCACUGUUUCGACUAGGGGGUCAUCCCGACUUACCAACUCGAUGCAAACUGCGAAUACCGGAGAAUGUUAUCACGGGAGACACACGGCGGGUGCUAACGUCCGUCGUGAAGAGGGAAACAACCCAGACCGCCAGCUAAGGUCCCAAAGUCAUGGUUAAGUGGGAAACGAUGUGGGAAGGCCCAGACAGCCAGGAUGUUGGCUUAGAAGCAGCCAUCAUUUAAAGAAAGCGUAAUAGCUCACUGGUCGAGUCGGCCUGCGCGGAAGAUGUAACGGGGCUAAACCAUGCACCGAAGCUGCGGCAGCGACACUAUGUGUUGUUGGGUAGGGGAGCGUUCUGUAAGCCGUUGAAGGUGGCCUGUGAGGGUUGCUGGAGGUAUCAGAAGUGCGAAUGCUGACAUAAGUAACGAUAAUGCGGGUGAAAAACCCGCACGCCGGAAGACCAAGGGUUCCUGUCCAACGUUAAUCGGGGCAGGGUGAGUCGACCCCUAAGGCGAGGCCGAAAGGCGUAGUCGAUGGGAAACAGGUUAAUAUUCCUGUACUGGUUGUUACUGCGAAGGGGGGACGGAGAAAGCUAGGUUGGCCGGGCGACGGUUGUCCCGGUUUAAGCGUGCAGGUGGGUGUUUUUGGUAAAUCCGGAACACUGUUAACACUGAGGCGUGAUGACGAGUCACUACGGUGAUGAAGUAACCGAUGCUACGCUUCCAGGAAAAGCCUCUAAGCACCAGGUAACAAUCAAUCGUACCCCAAACCGACACAGGUGGUCAGGUAGAGAAUACUCAGGCGCUUGAGAGAACUCGGGUGAAGGAACUAGGCAAAAUGGUGCCGUAACUUCGGGAGAAGGCACGCUGGAUUUGGUGAAGUCCCUUGCGGACGGAGCUGAGACCAGUCGCAGAUACCAGCUGGCUGCAACUGUUUAAUAAAAACACAGCACUGUGCAAACACGAAAGUGGACGUAUACGGUGUGACGCCUGCCCGGUGCCGGAAGGUUAAUUGAUGGGGUAAGCCUUAGGGCGAAGCUCUUGAUCGAAGCCCCGGUAAACGGCGGCCGUAACUAUAACGGUCCUAAGGUAGCGAAAUUCCUUGUCGGGUAAGUUCCGACCUGCACGAAUGGCGUAAUGAUGGCCAGGCUGUCUCCACCCGAGACUCAGUGAAAUUGAACUCGCUGUGAAGAUGCAGUGUACCCGCGGCAAGACGGAAAGACCCCGUGAACCUUUACUAUAGCUUGACACUGAACCUUGAGCCUUGAUGUGUAGGAUAGGUGGGAGGCUUUGAAGUGUGGACGCCAGUCUGCAUGGAGCCAACCUUGAAAUACCACCCUUUAAUGUUUGAUGUUCUAACGUGGGCCCCUGAGCGGGGUUGCGGACAGUGUCUGGUGGGUAGUUUGACUGGGGCGGUCUCCUCCCAAAGAGUAACGGAGGAGCACGAAGGUUAGCUAAUCCUGGUCGGACAUCAGGAGGUUAGUGCAAAGGCAUAAGCUAGCUUGACUGCGAGAGUGACGGCUCGAGCAGGUGCGAAAGCAGGUCUUAGUGAUCCGGUGGUUCUGAAUGGAAGGGCCAUCGCUCAACGGAUAAAAGGUACUCCGGGGAUAACAGGCUGAUACCGCCCAAGAGUUCAUAUCGACGGCGGUGUUUGGCACCUCGAUGUCGGCUCAUCACAUCCUGGGGCUGAAGUAGGUCCCAAGGGUAUGGCUGUUCGCCAUUUAAAGUGGUACGCGAGCUGGGUUUAGAACGUCGUGAGACAGUUCGGUCCCUAUCUGCCGUGGGCGUUGGAAGAUUGAGAGGGGUUGCUCCUAGUACGAGAGGACCGGAGUGAAUGCACCACUGGUGUACGGGUUGUGAUGCCAAUUGCAUUGCCCGGUAGCUAAGUGCGGAAGAGAUAACCGCUGAAAGCAUCUAAGCGGGAAACUUGCCUCGAGAUGAGUCUUCCCUGGGACUUUGAGUCCCCAGAAGGGCCGUUGAAGACGACGACGUAGAUAGGCCGGGUGUGUAAGCGCAGCGAUGCGUUGAGCUAACCGGUACUAAUGACCCGAGAGGCUUAACCUUACAACACCGAAGGUGUUU